RNAcentral lists this long non-coding RNA (1386 nucleotides) under Gouania willdenowi (blunt-snouted clingfish). RNAcentral's name for it is "lncRNA (ENSGWIG00000000437.1)". Lineage: Eukaryota; Metazoa; Chordata; Actinopteri; Blenniiformes; Gobiesocidae. The record is from RNAcentral.
AUGACUGAAGAAGAGUUAGAGAUGCUGGCACGUCACCAGGACUUCAUCAUGCAGAAAGAACUUAAGGAAUUUGAGCAAGAUAAGAGGGUACAAAACAUAAAUCAACAAAUUACUGCACUUAAGCUGCAGAGUGAUUUAGUUGAUCAGAUUUUUGAAAAGGAAAAAAUCCAAGCUGAGAAGAUGGAAGAGAAAGCACGUUUAGAUAAGUUGAAGGGAUGCGACACUGGGAAAGACGGCAGGAUAACUGGUCAACGACACAGACAAAACUGCACUGAAAAUGCUAAGUACAUCAAAACACAGAUAGAAGAGCGCAAAAAGCAGGUGCAAAUAGAAGAAGAUAGGAAAAAGAGUUGUGAAAAGGAGUAUGCAGAAAUGGACCAGGAAUGUAUUCAGUCACACUUAAUGGCUAGGGAGGCCAAAAAGGCUGAAACAAAGUGGAAUGCCCAACAAAACUUACUUCUUACUAGGGAGAAAAAACGGGCGAAAAAGGAAGCAUUAGAGGGAGAAAUACAGGAAUCCCUUCAAAUCAAAGAUUGGAUCAAUAAGAAAGAUUCUCAACAGGCAGAAAUUGCUGCUAAAAAACAAAAACUCAAGCAGCUACGACAGAUACCUGUUGAUUUGGUGUCAGAUCAACUUAAAAGAAUAAAUCAGAACAUGAAACAGGACCAUGAAGCGGAAUUUAAACGACUCAAACGAAUCAAAGACGAUGAGUGGAAAAGAAAGCAAAAAGUGUUGGCUGAGAAUAAAGCAAAUAAGAUCAAGUCGUUGCAGAAAGGUUUGGCACAGCAGUUGGAAACAAAGACUCAAUGCAGGGUCACAGAACUUGCUCAUCAGCGAAAACAGCAAGAAAAUGAUGUCAAAGAACUUCAGGCCCACCUUGCCAAACAGAAACGGGAAGAUGAGAAGCGUCGACAGGAUUUGCUGACUCACAAAGAACUCCUGAAAAAGCAGGUGAAACAACAAGAGUCUUUGAAAAAACAAAAACUUAAUGAGGAAUUAAAUAAUGAAAAGAAACUUCUCAAUCGCCAAAAGUUAAAAUCCAAUCGGAUCGACGAAUACAUAGCGGACAAAAAUAAGGAAUAUGUAGAAAUCCGCAAUCAAGAAAACCUGUUACGUUUUCGAACCGGCAGCCACUAUCACCCUAGUUUAGCUAAUAAACCUGGGGAAAACAAAUCUGAUGGCAAAGUAGUUCUCCCCCCGAUUGGACCAAUAAGACAACAAAAGAAAAGACUAGUCCUUCCCACCACCCCCGAUCGUCUUCCAACACAGUCUUUCCUUCCACCUGUUGCUCCCAACAAAGGGAAACAAACCACCAACUACGCCUAUUACCAGCAAGUUACAAUAGGUAAGAGGAACACGGCUAGUCCCAGUAGCUCCCAACUCUAA